AAAGUAGUAAAAACAAAAAAUCAAAAACAAUCAAUUUAAAAAUUUCUAAGUCUGAACAUUACAUACGUUACAAACUAAGGUAAUGUUGCGUACAUUUAUGUAGCACAUGCUAUCUGCAACCUUAAACGUACCCAGCAACUUUAGUACUAACGGACCCGGUAGACGUUGUUCUGCCCGAAAAAUAGUUUCACAUUACGUAUGGCAUGCCGACAACAGCGCCACCUACCGGGCCCAGUUGUGUUUUCAAACCAUCCAUGAUCCUAUUGAAAUGUACUCAUGAAAUUUCCAAAAUUUUUUUGGAUUCAACCAAAUUGGUCCAAAUGUUUUGUAGAAGUUAGGUGACAAACACCCAUACAGAAGAAUUAUAUAAAUAUUAAAAUGCGAUAAUUAUUUUGAACUCACAAACUGCAACGAGGCCGAAAUAUCGGAGUUUCAAUGUAAUAGUUCUGUACAAUCCAGUGUUCUUUUUAUUUUGUAUUUUAAUCUGGCCACAAUAAAAAAAAUGUUCUUCAUAUUUUCUUGUAUUUUUUUUAUAAAGCAAUGUUUUCAUAUUAAAAAGUAUAGUCGAAAAUGUUUUAAUUUUAUGUUUUUUUUUGUUCGCCAGCUCUUCAAUAAAAACAUAUCUCUAUUCUUGAUAGAUAAAUACCUAUACAUCGCGUUAAAUUAGUUCAAAUUAUCUUGAUUAAAAAAGGAAAAUAUGUUAUCGUCGACCUAUUUUUUAUCUGUGUAUGGACCAAUAGUAGUAAAGUUUUAUGAAAUUAAAUCGUUGGUAAGCUUAACGAAAAUUUUGACUUUAUACCCAUCGAAAAAGUAUGACGUUUAGGUGUAUUUUCUGGUAUGCAAAGUUUUAAGCCUCAAUAGCGUAAGAGUGGUUUCGUUUUUUUUUUUCGUAUAUUUUGUGAUCGCUUAAAUAUAUUCAUCAUUAUAGUGUAAAAAAUAAAAUAUAUUUCCUAACGAGUGAUUUGCAUACGCGUUUUGAUGAAUAUAAUUUCGCGUUAAAUAAAUUCGAUUCCUACUCGCACUGCGGAAUGUUUGACAACUUGUUUUUGUAAAUAAAAUAAACGCGUCUCGAAGUGUAUGCAGUGUGAGUGCGACUCGCUAAUGUUCGGUACCUACGUCUAUGUAUUGUCGUUAGAUUUUAAUCGCUUUGUAAAAAAUCCCGCUUCUAUCACCAUACAAAUGCUUGUCUCUAGAACGAUAAGUGAUGGUAGGCUGAAACGACGACAUAGCUGGGGAGUAACCGAGCAGAAAUAAAUUUUAACAUUCAAUACUCUAGCCUUAUCUGCUGUGGAUUGAGUCAUAGACAAUUUUUUUUUCUCCCUAUGCUAAGGUCAGGUAUAAAGUACACAGUCCACAGCAUUUUCACAUGAAUUAAUGAUUGGCAAAUGCGGCACUACACAGCACAAAUUAAUUUCUUCCGGACAAUAUUAUUAGUAAAAUAGAUUAAAAUAUAAUUGUAAAUCAAAGCCUUUAGGUAAUUCUAGAAUUUUUCGUUUGAUGUUUCAAUCCCUGUUCUGUUCCAUUGACUUUGUCUAGAUGUGUUAUAUAGUGAUUCGAUUUAAAUAUAAUGUAAUUAAUAAAAAAAGUUUGAACUUAUUUCGAACCCUAUUUUGUGUUGUCUGUAUCGGUUCGAGCCGUGUUUUGAUUAUCUGUGGACUUCUGCAGAAUAGAACUGAUGAUUCUGAUAAUAAUUUUUUAAUAUUUUUUUUUGUUUAUACAAUUAAAUUUCUCACCUAGAUGUGUACGACUGAUUUCGUAACAAUUGUUUAUCACAGUAAUAACUCAAUUUCUAGAUGGUGUAUCAAAAAUGUAAAGUUAUUAUUGGCUAAUAUACGUUAUAAAAAAGGAUAGAAAAAAGUGUAUAGCGAUAUAAAUGAACAAUGUAAUAAAAUAAGUAUAAAUUUUUGUAUUGUUGUUUCAGAACAUCUGCUUUUCUAAAUUUCUGCGAUCGUUCACAGAUAACUUUUUUCUAUAUAUUUCAGUUAGGCCAGUCACUGUUAGUGUUUGAAAUAAAACUUUAGUUGUAA
Molecule: long non-coding RNA, 2027 nt
Organism: Melitaea cinxia (Glanville fritillary)
Lineage: Eukaryota; Metazoa; Arthropoda; Insecta; Lepidoptera; Nymphalidae
Exons: 2
Source: RefSeq, a predicted model, not a curated record